Small nuclear RNA from Mustela putorius furo (domestic ferret), 107 nucleotides. NCBI's taxonomy places the organism in Eukaryota, Metazoa, Chordata, Mammalia, Carnivora, Mustelidae. The record is from Ensembl.
GUGCUUACUUCAUUAGUGCUUACAUUAAAAUUGGAACAAUACAGAGAAGAUUAGCACAGUCCCUGCAUAAGGAUAACAUGCAAAUUCAUGAAGUGUUCCAUAUAUAA